AUCGAACGCUGGCGGAAUGCUUUACACAUGCAAGUCGGACGGCAGCACGGACUUCGGUCUGGUGGCGAGUGGCGAACGGGUGAGUAAUGUAUCGGAACGUGCCCAGUCGUGGGGGAUAACGUAGUGAAAAUUACGCUAAUACCGCAUACGAUCUAUGGAUGAAAGCGGGGGAUCGCAAGACCUCGCGCGAUUGGAGCGGCCGAUAUCAGAUUAGGUAGUUGGUGGGGUAAAGGCCCACCAAGCCAACGAUCGGUAGCUGGUCUGAGAGGACGACCAGCCACACUGGAACUGAGACACGGUCCAGACGCCUACGGGAGGCAGCAGUGGGGAAUGUUGGACAAUGGGCGAAAGCCUGAUCCAGCCAUUCCGCGUGCAGGAUGAAGGCCCUCGGGUUGUAAACUGCUUUUGUACAGAACGAAAAGGUUUCUACUAAUACUAGAAGCUCAUGACGGUACUGUAAGAAUAAGCACCGGCUAACUACGUGCCAGCCGCCGCGGUAA
RNAcentral lists this ribosomal RNA (500 nucleotides) under uncultured bacterium. Its description in RNAcentral is "partial 16S ribosomal RNA". It matches the Rfam family "Bacterial small subunit ribosomal RNA", at positions 30 to 523 of the family's 1533-position model. The record is from RNAcentral.